This 198-nucleotide unclassified non-coding RNA is filed under the name Entrophospora etunicata. RNAcentral's name for it is "Claroideoglomus etunicatum partial internal transcribed spacer region". The stretch from base 1 to 46 matches the Rfam family "Eukaryotic small subunit ribosomal RNA", at positions 1786 to 1831 of the family's 1831-position model. Lineage: Eukaryota; Fungi; Glomeromycota; Glomeromycetes; Entrophosporales; Entrophosporaceae. The record is from RNAcentral.
AAGUCGUAACAAGGUUUCCGUAGGUGAACCUGCGGAAGGAUCAUUAUAAAAUUUUCAUAUAUUUAAAAUUCAUUUAAUAUAUAAAAUUAUAUACAAAAUGUAUUCAAAACCCACACUCCUUAUAACCAUAAAAAAAUUUAUAUUAUUAUUUAUAAUAUAAAAAAAAAACAACUUUCAACAACGGAUCUCUUGGCUCUC